This 67-nucleotide transfer RNA is filed under the name Staphylococcus aureus. It matches the Rfam family "tRNA". Rfam says of the family: Transfer RNA (tRNA) molecules are approximately 80 nucleotides in length. Their secondary structure includes four short double-helical elements and three loops (D, anti-codon, and T loops). RNAcentral also lists the same sequence under 15 other names. The record is from RNAcentral. Lineage: Bacteria; Bacillati; Bacillota; Bacilli; Caryophanales; Staphylococcaceae.
CGGGUGUAGUUUAAUGGCAAAACCUCAGCCUUCCAAGCUGAUGUUGUGGGUUCGAUUCCCAUCACCC